UACGUAGGGGGCGAGCGUUGUCCGGAUUUAUUGGGCGUAAAGAGCUCGUAGGCGGUUCGAUAAGUCAGGUGUAAAAACUCCAGGCUCAACUUGGAGAGGCCACCUGAUACUGUCGUGACUAGAGUUCGGCAGGGGAGACUGGAGUUCCUGGUGUAGCUGUGAAAUGCGCAGAUAUCAGGAGGAACACCGGUGGCGAAGGCGGGUCUCUGGGCCGAUACUGACGCUGAGGAGCGAAAGCGUGGGGAGCGAACAGG
Molecule: ribosomal RNA, 254 nt
Filed under: uncultured bacterium
Lineage: Bacteria
Description: partial 16S ribosomal RNA
Rfam family: Bacterial small subunit ribosomal RNA
Source: RNAcentral